UUGUAAAGAAAAAAUAAUCAUCUGGAAAAUAUAAUACUGUAGAAAGAAUAAGUAAAGAGAGAAUAGCUUGAAUUCAUUGGUGGGGAGCAAACUUGUAUUAUGAAGUCUGAUUAUUGAAGAGUGGGAAAAAAUAAUAGUAGUAAAUUAGAAAUGGAAAUAGAGAAAUAGUGUGAGUGUGCUUACUCUGAAAAUACAAUGAAUAAAUAAAUAAAACAUUUGUUUCCUCAUUUCUAUUUCAAUUCUAUUAUUAUUAUUUUUUUUUCACUUUUCCAAUGAUCAGAUUUUUCAUAGGAAUUUUGAGUGGAAUUUGAAAAUUAAUGACGAGUUAUGUAUCGAGAUAAUUAUAUAAUUGUACAUGUAUAUAAAUAAAAUAUAUAAUAAAUAAUUCAUACAUAUAAAAAUCUUAUUAAGAAUAACAUUAAUUUUCGCAUAAUAUGAUUAAACCAUAUUGAUAUGUACAAUCUUAUGUGAUUUCACAAUAUUGUAUACUGUAAUAUCUUAUCUUGAUUUUAUACGAGAUCAGAACUGGAUAAUUUACAUUAAUUUGAAAUAUGAAUUUUAAAAGAUAAAAUAUUUUAAAUUAUAUUAUAAAGUAAAAAAAUUAUAUAAAAAAUUGUUAUUUGUAAUAAUAGUCAAUAAUCAUAGUCAAUAAUCAUAAAAUUCAUCUUAUGAUUGAAAUUGUCUGUUAACAAUAUCGAACUGUUUUAAUUUUUUAAUAUUAAAAGACAUAAAUAUUUUGAUAUUUAUUAUAAUAUUAUAAUAAAUUGAUAAUUGAUAAAAAUUGAUUUGUAAAAAAAUAUUUAAAAUAUCAAAAAAUAAUAGAAUUUAUUUAUUGUAAAAUCAUAUUUCGAAAUAUAUAGAAUAUUAAUAUGUUCAGAUAUCUUCGAAGAAUUGAUUGUAAGAAUCAAAAUAAAUGCAAAAAUCAAUAUACAAAAACUUACUUAUUAAGUUAUAAGCAUUUAAAUUUAUGAGAACAAUAGAAUAGAAAACAAAAUGAAUUUAAUCUAUUUUUCUCUAACUUCAUUUAAUGCAAGAUUAAUUAUUACUAUAUUAUUCUUGAUAAAAGAAAUGAUAUCAUUUUAAAAUCGAACAAAAAUUAUAUUUCUAUUUUUAUAUUUUCAAAAAUAAGAAAUUUUGAAGAAAAUCAGUAUCUUAUUAUUUCAUAAAUUUAAUCUUCUAUAAAAUGUUCUGCUUUUUUAAAUUUAUAAUAAUAUAAAAUAAUAUUAUAACAUAAUAAAAUUAACUUUUAAUGAUAUAAUUAAUGUUUUAUUCACAUGUUCAAAAUUUGCAAUAUUUUCCUUUUUUCUUAAUUUAUAUAUACAUUUAUUUUUAAAAAUUUACAUUAUUAUUUAAUGAAAAUCCUAACGAAUGAAUUCAAAAUCAUAAGCAUAUUGAUUUCAUUUUAUUUCUAAAAUAUUAAAUUUUUACUAAAAUAUUACAUUUGUGAAUCAUUGAAAAUAAAGAAUAAAGAUAAAAUAAUGUAUAUUUUGAUUAUAAAGAGAUUCAAUAAAUAUAGAGAUUUCUCUAUUUAUUAAAAAGUGAAAUUAUUUGUUUUUAUAUACAAUUAUAAGACAUAAUAAAUAAUAGUAAUUUAUCUUCUCAAUUUUUGCAAAAAUUAUAAAAGAAUUUUGUAAAUUAAUAUAUAUAUAUAGUAUUUAAUUUAAAUUAUGUUCUAUUUUCAAAAAUAUUGUUAUAUUUUUAAAAAUAUAUUAAAUACCAGUAUUAAAUACCAGUAUUAAUCAUUAUGCUAUUUUAGCAUUAAGAUCUUAUGAAUUAAUUUAUUAUAACAUUGUCUUUUAACACAAUUUAGUGUUUAUAAUUUAUUUUUCUUGUGAAUUAAAUUAUUAAUUAUUCUCGCUUAUAUGUCUAUUUAAAUCCUUUUGUUUAAUGUUAAAAAUUUUAUUUUUUUUUUACUUCUAUUAACUUAGACGUUUGAUUAACAUUUUAAAAAAUUGUAAUUUCAUUUACAAAAUUAUUUAUUUUACUUUACACUAAUAUUUGUUUAAAUCAAAUUUGUAAUUUUAAGUAAAUUUAAAAAAUUUUUUAAAUGUAAACAAUAUAACCUUAAAUUUAAGUUCAUAUAUAUCUUCAUAUAUUGUUUAUAUAUUAUUUUUAUUUAUUUAUAAUAUUUAUACAUUAUUUAUAUAUGAUUAUUAAAAAAAUUAUAUAUUUUAUAUACAUGUAUAUUUCAGCUAAUUUUAUAAUUAUAUUUGUUUUUCCAUUUAUCACCAUAGUAAAUAGAAUUCACACUUCAAUGUUGCCAAGUUUUAUAUUAUAGCUACCAAGAAUUGUCAUUUUGAAGUAAAGUUCGAAGAAAAAUUUACUAUUGUAAUCAGUGUAUUUAUGAUAUGAUUAUACUGUGGAAAUAGAAAUUAUUAUAUAGAUAUAAAAUAUAGAAGUAGAGAAUGAUAGUGGAAAUGAUAUGAAAUAUGAAGUAGUCAUUAGGGAAUUGUUUGAGCAAUAUUGGCCAAUAUAAAAAUAUAAAAAAAAAUAUAAAAAAAAAUAUUGCAUGAAAGAAGUCUAUAUCUUAUUUAAAAGUAUGUUAGUAUUAUACAUAUACUUAUAUUGAUUAUAAUUAGUAGUGUCUGGUACCCGAAAUUCCACUUGGAUCGAACCAAGAAAAAAUCGAACGGGGUUGACCGGUAUUUGUUGAUACUAUGUCGAUAUAUAUAUAUACUUUAUUGUCCUUUAUUGUUAAUAAAUACUUUAAUUGUCCGAGAUUUUCAGGAUAAUCUUUAGUAAUUUCCAUUUCCAAUUUUUUGAAAAAUAAUUACUUUUCAUCUUUAAUCAGCUCAACGUAAUAUAUUGUAUACAUAAUACAUAAAUAUAAUAGUGUUCGAAUAAAAA
Molecule: long non-coding RNA, 2847 nt
Organism: Apis cerana (Asiatic honeybee)
Lineage: Eukaryota; Metazoa; Arthropoda; Insecta; Hymenoptera; Apidae
Source: RefSeq, a predicted model, not a curated record